RNAcentral lists this transfer RNA (61 nucleotides) under Ictidomys tridecemlineatus (thirteen-lined ground squirrel). Its description in RNAcentral is "Spermophilus tridecemlineatus (thirteen-lined ground squirrel) tRNA". It matches the Rfam family "tRNA", at positions 6 to 65 of the family's 71-position model. From Rfam's summary of the family: Transfer RNA (tRNA) molecules are approximately 80 nucleotides in length. Lineage: Eukaryota; Metazoa; Chordata; Mammalia; Rodentia; Sciuridae. The record is from Rfam by way of RNAcentral.
UGUAGCUCAGUGCUAGAGUACUUGCCUAGAAUGUGGGAAGCCCUGGGUUCAAGUCCCAGUA